UAACAUUUUUCGAGGUUAAC
RNAcentral lists this non-coding RNA (20 nucleotides) under Arabidopsis thaliana (thale cress). The record is from RNAcentral. Lineage: Eukaryota; Viridiplantae; Streptophyta; Magnoliopsida; Brassicales; Brassicaceae.